GGCUGGUCUGAAUGCAGUGAUGUUUACAGCAGACUGAUCACAACCAGUUGCAGAUUUGUUUCUUCUCCACUCCCACUGCUUUCAAUAACUAGCCUUAA
Molecule: unclassified non-coding RNA, 98 nt
Organism: Gorilla gorilla gorilla (western lowland gorilla)
Lineage: Eukaryota; Metazoa; Chordata; Mammalia; Primates; Hominidae
Rfam family: Y RNA
About the family: Y RNAs are components of the Ro ribonucleoprotein particle (Ro RNP), in association with Ro60 and La proteins. The Y RNAs and Ro60 and La proteins are well conserved, but the function of the Ro RNP is not known. In humans the RNA component can be one of four small RNAs -- hY1, hY3, hY4 and hY5.
Source: Ensembl